GACGAGGGAUCCUAGCGUUGUUCGGAAUCAUUGGGCGUAAAGCGGGUGUAGGCGGGCUUAUAAGUCAGUUGUGAAAUCCCAGGGCUCAACCCUGGAAGUGCAUUUGAUACUGUAAGUCUUGAAUGUGGUAGAGGUUACUAGAAUUCCUGGUGUAGUGGUGAAAUACGUAGAUAUCAGGAGGAAUACCAGAGGCGAAGGCGGGUAACUGGGCCAACAUUGACGCUGAGACCCGAAAGUGUGGGGAUCAAACAGG
RNAcentral lists this non-coding RNA (253 nucleotides) under uncultured bacterium. RNAcentral describes it as "partial 16S ribosomal RNA". It matches the Rfam family "Bacterial small subunit ribosomal RNA", at positions 524 to 776 of the family's 1533-position model. The record is from RNAcentral. RNAcentral also lists the same sequence under 2 other names.